Molecule: long non-coding RNA, 1232 nt
Organism: Symphalangus syndactylus (siamang)
Lineage: Eukaryota; Metazoa; Chordata; Mammalia; Primates; Hylobatidae
Source: RefSeq, a predicted model, not a curated record
AUGCAAUGUAGCUUUAAAGUUGAACUUUUCCAGCAAACUGCUACUUGUGUGAAUGCCUGUUUGGGAGUUAGACUAAUCUUUCCCUACUGGAAAAAUAACCAACACUUACUACACCAUAGUUAUGAUUACAUCACAAUAAAUAUUCUAUGUAGGACUAGGAACAGUGCCUCAAAGAAAAAUGCUUGGGGAAUGGGUAAUUGGAAUGAACUACAAGCAUUUUCACUGAGCUCAAAGAAACUGCAAGAAAAAACAUCUUCGAUCUGCAUCCAAGUAUUUUUUUUUUCUCUGAAAGAACACUGUGUGAGGAAUUUUGACAUUCUCUGCAUUCUAAUGGAAAUGACUUAGAAAGUAGAGGCUUAUCUAUACAUUUGCCUCAUUGCUGCCACGAUGGGCACUGUUUAUCAGGAAUAAAGAGAGAAGAUCGAGAAGGUAGUUCUUUUCUGGAGAAUUUUAUGCUCUGGCUCUUAAGUACUUUUGCUUUGCCAUGAAUGUGAAUAUUUUAAAGGCCAAAAAAGCCCCCUGCAUUUGAGUUGCAGAUGGCCACAGGAACCCAACAAGAAUGCUAACAACUCAUUUUAAAAAGGGAAAAAGGAAAGGAAGUGCCAAGUUCCACACUGCAUGUCCAUACUGAUGUUGAGCCCAUCUUGGCCUAGCUGGUAGAACUGAAAAUUGAGAAUAAUAUUGAGGGGCUGCCAUGAUCCCUAAGGGUAAAAAUACACGUGUUUCUGAAAACAGCCACAUCGACAAUGAAAUAGACAUCAAAUAAGAUAACCCAAGAACGCAUUUGUUUUCCUUGUAACAGGGAUAUGUUAAGUUCAUUAUUCAGAGGACUUUGAUUACCCUUUUCAAAGAUUUUUGGGUGACAGUGAUCCAGGAUGAAGGUCCUUUGACUAUACAUUUCAGCGUUCAAUUUAGGGAGCUGAUGACCAAGGCUGAAUUCCCAGGGUAGCACAGUUCCAGCUGAGGACUGGCCAGUGGUAACCUGGACCCCAGCUUCCUCAACCACCAUGUAAGCUGGUGUUGUAGAGGUGUGUGUGUGUGUGUGUGUGUGUGUUUCUUGAAAACACUCCUAUUCAAAGCAAAGUCAGGUCAGCCUUAAAAGCAAGCUGACAAAAAGAACUAUAAAACCAGGGGUGGAUUACAUUUCAGAGUGCUUCCUUAAAUUACAACUAUCACUAACAGGCAUUAGUCAGCUAUUUCUAGUUUAACUAAAAAGUAAAAGGUAUAUUCAA